GCAAUUAUACCGUGAAACUGCGAAUGGCUCAUUAAAUCAGUUAUCGUUUAUUUGAUAGUACCUUACUACUUGGAUAACCGUGGUAAUUCUAGAGCUAAUACAUGCUAAAAACCCCAACUUCGGGAGGGGUGUAUUUAUUAGAUAAAAAACCAAUGCCCUUCGGGGCUCCUUGGUGAUUCAUGAUAACUUCUCAGAUCGCAUGGCUUUACGCCGGCGACGGUUCAUUCAAAUUUCUGCCCUAUCAACUUUCGAUGGUAAGGUAUUGGCUUACCAUGGUUUCAACGGGUAACGGGGAAUUAGGGUUCGAUUCCGGAGAGGGAGCCUGAGAAACGGCUACCACAUCCAAGGAAGGCAGCAGGCGCGCAAAUUACCCAAUUCCGAUACGGAGAGGUAGUGACAAUAAAUACUGAUACAGGGCUCUUUUGGGUCUUGUAAUUGGAAUGAGUACAAUUUAAACCUCUUAACGAGGAACAAUUGGAGGGCAAGUCUGGUGCCAGCAGCCGCGGUAAUUCCAGCUCCAAUAGCGUAUAUUAAAGUUGUUGCAGUUAAAAAGCUCGUAGUUGAACCUUUGGCCUGGCUGGCAGGUCCGCCUCACCGCGUGCACUUGUCCGGCCGGGCCUUUUCUUCUGGAGAACCGCAUGCCCUUCACUGGGUGUGUUGGGGACCAGGACUUUUACUUUGAAAAAAUUAGAGUGUUCAAAGCAGGCCUUUGCUCGAAUACGUUAGCAUGGAAUAAUAGAAUAGGACGUGCGGUCCUAUUUUGUUGGUUUCUAGGACCGCCGUAAUGAUUAAUAGGGACAGUCGGGGGCAUCAGUAUUCAAUUGUCAGAGGUGAAAUUCUUGGAUUUAUUGAAGACUAACUACUGCGAAAGCAUUUGCCAAGGAUGUUUUCAUUAAUCAGUGAACGAAGUUAGGGGAUCGAAGACGAUCAGAUACCGUCGUAGUCU
This 946-nucleotide ribosomal RNA is filed under the name Pleosporales sp. PG170709B1. Its description in RNAcentral is "SSU rRNA". It matches the Rfam family "Eukaryotic small subunit ribosomal RNA", at positions 69 to 1026 of the family's 1831-position model. The record is from RNAcentral. Lineage: Eukaryota; Fungi; Ascomycota; Dothideomycetes; Pleosporales.